AUACGGAGGAUCCAAGCGUUAUCCGGAUUUAUUGGGUUUAAAGGGUGCGCAGGCGGCCUUAUAAGUCAGUGGUGAAAUCUCCCGGCUCAACCGGGAAACUGCCAUUGAUACUGUAAGGCUAGAAUACAGACGAGGUAGGCGGAAUGUAGCAUGUAGCGGUGAAAUGCUUAGAUAUGCUACAGAACACCGAUCGCGAAGGCAGCUUACCAGACUGUAAUUGACGCUAAGGCACGAAAGCGUGGGGAGCGAACAGGAUUAGAUACCCCAGUAGUCC
RNAcentral lists this ribosomal RNA (274 nucleotides) under uncultured bacterium. RNAcentral's name for it is "partial 16S ribosomal RNA". It matches the Rfam family "Bacterial small subunit ribosomal RNA", at positions 523 to 796 of the family's 1533-position model. The record is from RNAcentral.